Molecule: ribosomal RNA, 492 nt
Filed under: uncultured bacterium
Lineage: Bacteria
Description: partial 16S ribosomal RNA
Rfam family: Bacterial small subunit ribosomal RNA
Source: RNAcentral
AGUGAACGCUGGCGGUAGGCCUAACACAUGCAAGUCGAACGGCAGCACAGUAAGAGCUUGCUCUUACGGGUGGCGAGUGGCGGACGGGUGAGGAAUACAUCGGAAUCUACUUUUUCGUGGGGGAUAACGUAGGGAAACUUACGCUAAUACCGCAUACGACCUACGGGUGAAAGCAGGGGAUCUUCGGACCUUGCGCGAUUGAAUGAGCCGAUGUCGGAUUAGCUAGUUGGCGGGGUAAAGGCCCACCAAGGCGACGAUCCGUAGCUGGUCUGAGAGGAUGAUCAGCCACACUGGAACUGAGACACGGUCCAGACUCCUACGGGAGGCAGCAGUGGGGAAUAUUGGACAAAGGGCGCAAGCCUGAUCCAGCCAUACCGCGUGGGUGAAGAAGGCCUUCGAGUUGUAAAGCCCUUUUGUUGGGAAAGAAAAGCAGCAGGUUAAUACCCCGCUGUUCUGACGGUACCCAAAGAAUAGGCACCGGCUAACUUCGUG